This 466-nucleotide ribosomal RNA is filed under the name uncultured bacterium. Its description in RNAcentral is "bacterial SSU rRNA". It matches the Rfam family "Bacterial small subunit ribosomal RNA", at positions 28 to 491 of the family's 1533-position model. The record is from RNAcentral.
GAUGAACGCUGGCGGCGUGCCUAAUACAUGCAAGUCGAACGCUUCACAUUUGUGAAGAGUGGCGAACGGGUGAGUAAUACAUAAGUAACCUGGCAUCUACAGGGGGAUAACUGAUGGAAACGUCAGCUAAGACCGCAUAGGUGUAGAGAUCGCAUGAACUCUAUAUGAAAAGUGCUACGGGACUGGUAGAUGAUGGACUUAUGGCGCAUUAGCUAGUUGGUAGGGUAACGGCCUACCAAGGCGACGAUGCGUAGCCGACCUGAGAGGGUGACCGGCCACACUGGGACUGAGACACGGCCCAGACUCCUACGGGAGGCAGCAGUAGGGAAUUUUCGGCAAUGGGGGAAACCCUGACCGAGCAACGCCGCGUGAAGGAAGAAGUAAUUCGUUAUGUAAACUUCUGCCAUAGAGGAAGAACGGUGGAUAUAGGGAAUGAUAUCCAAGUGACGGUACUCUAUAAGAAAGC